Molecule: long non-coding RNA, 540 nt
Filed under: Homo sapiens (human)
Lineage: Eukaryota; Metazoa; Chordata; Mammalia; Primates; Hominidae
Description: non-protein coding SATB1-AS1:16
Source: RNAcentral
UCUUUCAGGACUCUGGAGAAGAUCAAAUGGGAGCUUAGAUGUGGAAGCUCUUUGGAAACCAAGAAACACUCUGAAAAUGAAAAGGCAUAAGAAUGUUUAUCACAGCAUGGCAUAUAUUGGAAGUUUAGUAAAUGAAGAUACAUCCAAUCUGACAUUCUAUUCACAACCACAAAGAGAUAAUGUAGAAACAUAUUUAGUAAUGUGAGAAAAUACUAAAUAUUAAGUGAAAAAGGUGGAAGAGUAAACUGUUCCUGUUUCUCCAUCUUGACAGGAAGCAGAAGUUCUCCUUAGCUGAUUUUUCUUCUUGCCUUAUACUGGGUUCUUUAACACCAGAACAAAAAUAAAUAAAUAAAAGAAUCUUCCAGAAAUUCAUGAAGAGACUUCAGGUCAGGAAAGCCUGAACUUUCUCAUCCAACACCCGUUCAAGUCGGAGGAUGCUGAUUAAUUCAUGAUGGAAAGGUAUCAAUUUCACAGCCCAGACCUCUACAUUCUUGAAAUGCUCUUCUCAUGGGAGACAUUAAAUAAGCUUUGAAUUAACUG